RNAcentral lists this ribosomal RNA (418 nucleotides) under uncultured crenarchaeote. RNAcentral's name for it is "bacterial SSU rRNA". It matches the Rfam family "Archaeal small subunit ribosomal RNA", at positions 17 to 441 of the family's 1478-position model. Lineage: Archaea; Thermoproteati; Thermoproteota. The record is from RNAcentral.
CCGGACCUGACUGCUAUCGGAUUGAUACUAAGCCAUGCGAGUCAUUGUAGCAAUACAAGGCGGACGGCUCAGUAACGCGUAGUCAACCUAACCUAUGGACGGGAAUAACCUCGGGAAACUGAGAAUAAUGCCCGAUAGAACACUAUACCUGGAAUGGUUUGUGUUCCAAAUGAUUUAUCGCCGUAGGAUGGGACUGCGGCCUAUCAGUUUGUUGGUGAGGUAAUGGCCCACCAAGACUAUUACAGGUACGGGCUCUGAGAGGAGUAGCCCGGAGAUGGGUACUGAGACACGGACCCAGGCCCCAUGGGGCGCAGCAGGCGAGAAAACUUUGCAAUGUGCGAAAGCACGACAAGGUUAAUCCGAGUGGUUUCUGCUAAAGGAACCUUUUGUCGGUCCUAGAAACACCGAUAAUAAGGGG